CCUACGGGAGGCAGCAGUGGGGAAUAUUGGACAAUGGGCGCAAGCCUGAUCCAGCCAUGCCGCGUGUGUGAAGAAGGCCUUAGGGUUGUAAAGUUCUUUUGUUCAUGAAGAUAAUGACGGUAAUGAACGAAUAAGCCCUGGCUAACUCUGUGCCAGCAGCCGCGGUAAU
RNAcentral lists this ribosomal RNA (169 nucleotides) under uncultured organism. RNAcentral describes it as "partial 16S ribosomal RNA". It matches the Rfam family "Bacterial small subunit ribosomal RNA", at positions 338 to 524 of the family's 1533-position model. The record is from RNAcentral.